This 410-nucleotide ribosomal RNA is filed under the name uncultured microorganism. RNAcentral's name for it is "bacterial SSU rRNA". It matches the Rfam family "Bacterial small subunit ribosomal RNA", at positions 509 to 917 of the family's 1533-position model. The record is from RNAcentral.
CAGCCGCCGCGGUAAUACGUAGGGGGCGAGCGUUGUCCGGAAUUACUGGGCGUAAAGGGCGUGUAGGCGGUAGAGCAAGUCAGGUGUGAAACCCCCGGGCUCAACUCGGGGCAUGCAUCUGAAACUGCGAUACUUGAGUGCAGGAGAGGGAAGCGGAAUUUCUGGUGUAGCGGUGGAAUGCGUAGAUAUCAGGAAGAACACCGGUGGCGAAGGCGGCUUUCUGGCCUGCAACUGACGCUGAGGCGCGAAAGCGUGGGGAGCGAACAGGAUUAGAUACCCUGGUAGUCCACGCUGUAAACGAUGGAUACUAGGUGUAGGUGGUAUCAAAGCCAUCUGUGCCGAAGUUAACACAUUAAGUAUCCCGCCUGGGGAGUACGGCCGCAAGGUUGAAACUUAAAGGAAUUGGCGGG